This 668-nucleotide ribosomal RNA is filed under the name uncultured bacterium. RNAcentral describes it as "bacterial SSU rRNA". It matches the Rfam family "Bacterial small subunit ribosomal RNA", at positions 390 to 1072 of the family's 1533-position model. The record is from RNAcentral.
CUUCACGCCGCGUGAAGGAUGAAGGCUUUCGGGUUGUAAACUUCUUUUAGCAGGAAAGAACACAAUGACGGUACCUGCAGAAAAAGCACCGGCUAACUCUGUGCCAGCAGCCGCGGAAAUACAGAGGGUGCAAGCGUUAUUCGGAUUUACUGGGCAUAAAGAGCGCGUAGGCGGUUUAAUAAGUCUGAUGUGAAAUCCCUGGACCCAAUCCAGGAAGUGCAUCGGAUACUGUUAGACUAGAGUACAGGAGGGGACAGCGGAAUUCCUGGUGUAGAGGUGAAAUUCGUAGAUAUCAGGAGGAACAACAGCGGCGAAGGCGGCUGUCUGGACUGUCACUGACGCUGAGGCGCGAAAGCGUGGGGAGCAAACAGGAUUAGAUACCCUGGUAGUCCACGCCGUAAACGAUGGAUGCUAGAUGUCGGAAGGUUCUACCCUUUCGGUGUCGUCGCAAAUGCAUUAAGCAUCCCGCCUGGGGAGUACGGUCGCAAGAUUAAAACUCAAAGAAAUUGACGGGGGCCCGCACAAGCGGUGGAGUAUGUGGUUUAAUUCGAUGCAACGCGAAAAACUUACCUGNGCUUGACAUCUGGUGCUAUCCGGUGAAAGUCGGAGUUCCCUUCGGGGACGCCAAGACAGGUGCUGCAUGGCUGUCGUCAGCUCGUGUCGUGAGA